AUUGUGACCGCAAUCUGAUCCAUGGCACACACACACUCCAGCAUCUGCCAGUUACAAAGUCGGUCCCUGACAGAGGAGAUGAUGGAUUUCAAAACACAUUACUGAAAAAACAGACCUUUUGGGUGAAUUAUGAAGUUUUUCCAUUCUAUCCUUUGUCUUCUAGUUACUCAAAAAUUGGUCACAUCCCAAGUUUUCCAGCCAUUGCAAGUUGACAUUACAGAAGGACAGAAGAUGCUGGUCUCUUGCCACCAGAACGUUACCAGUCACAACACGAUGUCUUGGUAUAAGCAGGUCCUGGAGGGUCAAAGGGUUUGGUCCACAUUAGGGUCUGGGUACACCGGAUUGACACCGUUCGGAGACUUCCUAAUAGAAGUGGAUCCAAACUUACGCUCCACCAACCUUAUCAAAGAAAAAGCAGCAUGGAGUGAUGGUGGUGUCUACUACUGCGCCGUGAAGGACACAGUGAGAGGAAAUGAGGAGCAGGCUUCAUAGAAACCACUCCACGAGUUUUCUUUUACCUUCAUUUCCUUUCUUACAUUGUUUGUUUUACUUUGCCUUGGACGCAUUGACUUAGGUUUACAAAUUCCUGUUUCUUGAGUGGCCAAAGUAUUGUGUGUAACACUAUGCAACACGAUUUUUGUCCCUGGGUUAUAAAUGUCAUUUUCUAAUUGGUUGUAUCAUAAAAAAAUUGAAAAAGUUUAUUAAACUGCAAAAACUUUU
Molecule: non-coding RNA, 720 nt
Organism: Anolis carolinensis (green anole)
Lineage: Eukaryota; Metazoa; Chordata; Lepidosauria; Squamata; Anolidae
Source: the annotation of a RefSeq genome assembly